This 261-nucleotide ribosomal RNA is filed under the name uncultured prokaryote. RNAcentral's name for it is "partial 16S ribosomal RNA". It matches the Rfam family "Bacterial small subunit ribosomal RNA", at positions 524 to 784 of the family's 1533-position model. The record is from RNAcentral.
UACGUAGGUGGCAAGCGUUGUCCGGAAUUACUGGGUGUAAAGGGCGUGUAGGCGGGAAGGCAAGUCAGAUGUGAAAUCCCAUGGCUUAACUCUGGAGCUGCAUCUGAAACUGUUUUUCUUGAGUACUGGAGAGGAAAGUGGAAUUCCUAGUGUAGCGGUGAAAUGCGUAGAGAUUAGGAGGAACACCAGUUGCGAAGGCGGCUCUCUGGACUGUAACUGACACUGAGGCACGAAAGCGUGGGGAGCAAACAGGAUUAGAUA